This 503-nucleotide ribosomal RNA is filed under the name uncultured bacterium. RNAcentral describes it as "bacterial SSU rRNA". It matches the Rfam family "Bacterial small subunit ribosomal RNA", at positions 30 to 526 of the family's 1533-position model. The record is from RNAcentral.
AUUGAACGCUGGCGGCAUGCCUUACACAUGCAAGUCGAACGGCAGCACGGGAGCAAUCCUGGUGGCGAGUGGCGAACGGGUGAGUAAUAUAUCGGAACGUGCCCAGUCGUGGGGGAUAACGCAGCGAAAGCUGUGCUAGUACCGCAUACGAUCAAUGGAUGAAAGCGGGGGAUCGCAAGACCUCGCGCGAUUGGAUCGGCCGAUAUCAGAUUAGCUAGUUGGUGGGGUAAAGGCCCACCAAGGCGACGAUCUGUAGCUGGUCUGAGAGGACGACCAGCCACACUGGAACUGAGACACGGUCCAGACUCCUACGGGAGGCAGCAGUGGGGAAUUUUGGACAAUGGGCGCAAGCCUGAUCCAGCAAUGCCGCGUGCAGGAUGAAGGCCUUCGGGUUGUAAACUGCUUUUGUACGGAACGAAACGGUUCUUUCUAAUAAAGAGGGCUAAUGACGGUACCGUAAGAAUAAGCACCGGCUAACUACGUGCCAGCCGCCGCGGUAAUAC